This 301-nucleotide ribosomal RNA is filed under the name uncultured bacterium. RNAcentral's name for it is "partial 16S ribosomal RNA". It matches the Rfam family "Bacterial small subunit ribosomal RNA", at positions 509 to 807 of the family's 1533-position model. The record is from RNAcentral.
CAGCCGCCGCGGGAAUACAGAGGGUGCAAGCGUUAAUCGGAAUUACUGGGCGUAAAGUGCGCGUAGGUGGUUUGUUAAGUUGGAUGUGAAAUCCCCGGGCUCAACCUGGGAACUGCAUCCAAAACUGGCAAGCUAGAGUAUGGUAGAGGGUGGUGGAAUUUCCUGUGUAGCGGUGAAAUGCGUAGAUAUAGGAAGGAACACCAGUGGCGAAGGCGACCACCUGGACUGAUACUGACACUGAGGUGCGAAAGCGUGGGGAGCAAACAGGAUUAGAUACCCCCGUAGUCCCUGUCUCUUAUAC